This 586-nucleotide ribosomal RNA is filed under the name uncultured bacterium. RNAcentral's name for it is "bacterial SSU rRNA". It matches the Rfam family "Bacterial small subunit ribosomal RNA", at positions 338 to 916 of the family's 1533-position model. The record is from RNAcentral.
CCUACGGGAGGCAGCAGUGGGGAAUUUUGGACAAUGGGCGCAAGCCUGAUCCAGCAAUGCCGCGUGAGUGAAGAAGGCCUUCGGGUUGUAAAGCUCUUUUGUCAGGGAAGAAACGGUUGUGGCUAAUAUCUGCAGCUAAUGACGGUACCUGAAGAAUAAGCACCGGCUAACCACGUGCCAGCAGCCGCGGUAAUACGUAGGGUGCAAGCGUUAAUCGGAAUUACUGGGCGUAAAGCGUGCGCAGGCGGUUUUGUAAGUCUGUCGUGAAAUCCCCGGGCUCAACCUGGGAAUGGCGAUGGAGACUGCAAGGCUGGAAUCUGGCAGAGGGGGGUAGAAUUCCACGUGUAGCAGUGAAAUGCGUAGAGAUGUGGAGGAACACCGAUGGCGAAGGCAGCCCCCUGGGUCAAGAUUGACGCUCAUGCACGAAAGCGUGGGGAGCAAACAGGAUUAGAUACCCUGGUAGUCCACGCCCUAAACGAUGUCUACUAGUUGUCGGGUCUUAAUUGACUUGGUAACGCAGCUAACGCGUGAAGUAGACCGCCUGGGGAGUACGGUCGCAAGNUUAAAACGUCAAAUGAAUUGACGG